Molecule: long non-coding RNA, 204 nt
Organism: Drosophila ananassae
Lineage: Eukaryota; Metazoa; Arthropoda; Insecta; Diptera; Drosophilidae
Exons: 2
Source: RefSeq, a predicted model, not a curated record
CAAACAUAUUUCAAUACAAAACAAAACCAAACUUAUUUCAUGGCGACCGUGACAUGAGUCCUGGAGGACUUAGGAAGAUAUUCGGAACCAAGGCUAAAAGGAAUCAAAGGAUUGAAAAUGCAAAAGGAAAAAUACAUCAUACGAGAAAAACGUCUGACCUCUGCCAAAACGACCACAGGUCUGCCCGACCGACUGCCCCGGACC